UACGUAGGUGACCAGCGUUGUCCGGAUUUACUGGGCGUAAAGAGCGCGCAGGCGGUCGGAUUAGUCGCGUGUGAAAGCCCCCGGCUCAACUGGGGAGGGUCACGCGAUACUGUUCGACUCGAAGGCAGGAGAGGGAAGUGGAAUUCCCGGUGUAGUGGUGAAAUGCGUAGAUAUCGGGAGGAACACCAGUGGCGAAGGCGACUUCCUGGACUGUUCUUGACGCUGAGGCGCGAAAGCUAGGGUAGCAAACGGG
Molecule: ribosomal RNA, 253 nt
Filed under: uncultured bacterium
Lineage: Bacteria
Description: partial 16S ribosomal RNA
Rfam family: Bacterial small subunit ribosomal RNA
Source: RNAcentral